RNAcentral lists this microRNA precursor (103 nucleotides) under Marmota monax (woodchuck). The record is from RNAcentral. Lineage: Eukaryota; Metazoa; Chordata; Mammalia; Rodentia; Sciuridae.
AAAGGGAUAGCUGGGUCAAAUGGUAGUUCCAUUCCCAGAUUUCCAAGGAAUAUCCAUACUGCUUUCCAUAUUGGCUACACCAAUUUGCAAUCCCACCAGCAAU